UUGAACUCCACUCCAGGAUGCAGUGCAUCACCUCAGUGGGGUGAUGACUAUACCUUUCUACUUGGAGUGUACUUCAAGAUGUAGUGAAUCAAUAACCCAAAGAGGGUAAAGUGUAAAUGUACAUGUUGCGGAUAAAGUGGUUGCAGUGGUUAUCUUAUUGAACUCCACUCCAGGAUGCAGUGCAUCACCUCA
Molecule: long non-coding RNA, 192 nt
Organism: Drosophila ficusphila
Lineage: Eukaryota; Metazoa; Arthropoda; Insecta; Diptera; Drosophilidae
Exons: 3
Source: RefSeq, a predicted model, not a curated record